AGCCUCAGAGGGAGUUCCGCAACAAUGCCCAUCGGUGCGCCUGCCUAUAACCCGGCCUAAUUUGCAGCACAGUCGGCCGAUUAAUUAAAAAAUGCCAAAAAUCGGUCGAUUAAUUGGCUGGCCGAUCAAUUGGUCGACCUCUAGUACAGACAUUCCUCUCAUUGAUAGCGAGAGCUUGAAGGGGUGAUUUGGAAUGACAUUUUUUUCAGGAGUCACGACAGUAGAGGCAGCGCAACUAUAACUACAUGUAAUUAUUCCCGCCCACUCUAAAGCGAUACUAAACUGCAGUGGAAACACAAGCAUAGCCGUGCUGAGCCGAGCCGAGCCAAGCCGUACCACGCAGUGGAAAAGCACCAUAAAACUACUGACACUUAAACUGAUCUUUGGACCAAGAGAAUAACAGACAAUCUGCAGAAAGGCCUAAAAUGCAGUUUUGUCAUUAUCAUCAGCAGGAAAUUACCUACAAGAGCAUGUGCAGAACCCAGCUGUGUGUCAAUCAAGAGCGAACAUUCCAUCAAAGACUUUCCUUCUGCAUUUAGCGAUGGAACCGUGACUUCUGACCCCAGCAGGAAAAGACCCAGAGGAGCAUCUCCAGAACCCAGCUAUGUGUCAAUGAAGAGCAACAGAUCUAUAAAGCAACCCCCCGAACUCACUGAUGAACCCAGCAGUCUGAAGAUGCUUUCCAGACAAAACAGUACUUACCCCUACUGUCAGACCCAGAACAAGACAGAAUCAGACUUGCUGGACGAGACUAAAGAACUGCAGAGAGUGAAAGACAUACACAAAACCAGCAUGAAGAACAAGUAUGAGAGUUUAUUUGAGGGAAUCAAAAUACAAGAGAAUCAAACCCUCCUUAAAAGCAUUUACACACAGCUGUACAUCAUAG
Molecule: long non-coding RNA, 886 nt
Organism: Cyprinus carpio (common carp)
Lineage: Eukaryota; Metazoa; Chordata; Actinopteri; Cypriniformes; Cyprinidae
Source: Ensembl